UACGUAGGGUGCAAGCGUUACCCGGAUUUACUGGGCGUAAAGGGUUCGUAGGCUUUUUAGUAAGUCGUUCUUCAAAGACCGGGGCUCAACCUCGGAGCGGGGAGCGAUACUGCUAGAAUUGAGACACUUAGGGGCUACUGGAACUGUCGGUGUAGGGGUGAAAUCCGUUGAUAUCGACAGGAACUCCGAGGGCGAAGGCAGGUAGCUGGGAGUGUUCUGACGCUGAGGAACGAAAGCUAGGGUAGCGAAAGGG
Molecule: unclassified non-coding RNA, 253 nt
Filed under: uncultured Patescibacteria group bacterium
Lineage: Bacteria
Description: contains 16S-23S intergenic spacer region
Rfam family: Bacterial small subunit ribosomal RNA
Source: RNAcentral